AGACCUGGAGCGAACCCCAAAAAGGAACGUCCCAGUUCGGACUGUGGUCUGCAACCCGACCACACGAAGCUGGAAUCGCUAGUAAUCGCGGAUCAGAAUGCCGCGGUGAAUACGUUCCCGGGUCUUGUACACACCGCCCGUCACACCAUGGGAGUCAGCAACGCCCGAAGUCAGUGACCCAACCUUUAAGGAGGGAGCUGCCGAAGGCGGGGCAGGUGACUGGGGUGAAGUCGUAACAAGGUAUC
Molecule: ribosomal RNA, 245 nt
Filed under: uncultured bacterium
Lineage: Bacteria
Description: partial 16S ribosomal RNA
Rfam family: Bacterial small subunit ribosomal RNA
Source: RNAcentral